This 5313-nucleotide long non-coding RNA is filed under the name Prunus persica (peach). RNAcentral's name for it is "long non-coding RNA (PPER_LNC003953)". The record is from RNAcentral. Lineage: Eukaryota; Viridiplantae; Streptophyta; Magnoliopsida; Rosales; Rosaceae.
GCAUCAUUAGAGUUUGGGUCGCCUAAUUAAUGCUAAUGUGCCAGCCACAAAAAGCUUCCCCCCUUACCCUUUUCCCACAUAAUGUUUAUAUUUAUACUAAUCACAAUAUUAACAUUAAUUAAUCACAAUAUUACCAUGCAGGGAGCAAAGCUUAAUGGGAGGGAGCAAAGGGGCCGGCCACCGCAAAUGGAAAACAUGAUAAGUUUAUAUCCGCAAGUAGAAAAGCAAAUUACCCCUUUCUAGUUGGCUGGAAGCGCUUGCACUAAUGGAAGGAACACAUACAUGAUAAGCUUUAAUAAAUGUUGACCAAUAGCCUCUCAAUAAUAUUCUCUCCUGCAGUUCCCUGUCAAAAUCAAUUAUUUAUUCUUGAGCAAUGCUAGGAACAUCAUGUUUUUUUUUAUAUUAAAAAAACCAUAUUAUAACAAUUCUGAUGAAUACUCUCAUGUUUUCCUAAGCAAAGUCUCAUAAUUUUCUUAUACUUUGGUACCUUUUAUCUCUUAGCGGUGUUCAAGUUCAAGCGAUGCACACACUGGUUAAAUUUGAACACCUCUGUGUCGAACGUAUUGAGCUUCACUAACAACAACCGCCCACAGAGUGCCAUUGGUUUUGUAUUCAAUCAUUUUUUGUUCUCUUCUUACAAUCAUUUGAUAUGUAAAAAUAUUAAAAUAAGAAAUAAAUUUUACAAUGAAAGAAAGAAAAUUGUCCAUCACCAUUAUUUUUGUUUGGAAAGUAGAAUCAUCUUCGCUUUUCACCAAUGGACAACAAGAUUGGCAACAAAACCCCGUUGUAUUUAUAUGAAUUCAGAUUCCUCAAUGCCAUAGAAUGACAGCUUUGGAAAAAAGCAGGGUCUAAAAACCCAAGCCAUUGAUUGGGGAAAUAAGGAAAAAAGCGAUCAAAACGAAAUGAGACCCAAAAAAAGAAGAAGCUGGAAGGCUGCAUUUUUGGGGAACAACAGAACGUAUAUAUGGAGCCAAAGGGAAUAAUUACAAUAUGCGAAACAAGAACAAACGACUUUGUAAAUAUAUACGCAUAUACUCACUCAGACUGUUAAUAUCGCAGCUAGCUAACCUAUAGCUACAACUCGUUUGUACUAUUUGAAAAUCAACAUAUCAACCUCAUUUGAUUGAAAUUGGAUUUCUCAUCUUUCUCGUUCUUGUGGGAAUAUCCUUCCUAUAUGUUGUUAAUUAUUUACAUUCACAAGGCUGCUAGGCUAAGAUUAUUACGAUCACACCCAAAGUUAAACAGAGAAAAAACAAUAUUCUCCACAUUAAAUCAUAACUUCCGUGGCCCUGGGAUGGGUAGCCUCCCCUCCUUUUAAACUUUUCAGCAACCACAAAUCAUAACUUCCACUUCUUACCGCAAAAAAACCACUGUAAUUUCCCAUUUAUUCAACUAUUUGGAUUCUAAGCAUGAAGAGCGUUUAAGAGAUUUUCAACAUGGAAUGGAAUCAUACGCAUGGAUAGGCGAGGCUCUGUUUGUUAGAUUUCAAAGAGAUGGGUCAGCGACCCGCUACUAACAACAUUGAUAUUGUCCCUAAUUUAACCAUCUACAAAGCCCAAAAGGUAUAAGGUUUUAUCUUAAGAGACCUCAGUAAUAUUAAUACAAUUACAAUUUUCCCUAAUAAGAAUGGUACAAUUACAGAUUUUCCCUAAUAAGAAUUUGAAAACAACGAUGUACAAAUAUUUUCUAAGUAAUUAUAUUUAAAUUAGAUUAAUAGCAAUUUAAAAAAUGAAAAUUGUUUUACUAAAUAGGAACUAUUAGAAAUUACAAAAGGUAGAGAUAGAGAUAAGCUAUAACUUUAUCAGGAAAUGCUAGUCUUAUCACAUUUAUAUACAACAUUCUCAUAUCACUUUAUGUGGCACAUAAAGUGAACAGUCGCAUUAAUUAAAAAAUAUCAAUAAAUUAUAAAAGAAAAGAAAAGAUUAAAUUUAAUUUAAUUAAUGUGACUAUUCAUAUCAUCUGCCAUAUAAAGUGAUAUAAGAAUAUAAUAUACAAAUGUAAUAAGAAUAACAUUAUUUUUUUAUCAAAUGUAUUAGUAAUAAUAAAUUGUUUAUCGACGUGACCAUUUUAUCCUUUUAUCCCUAACAAUUUGUGAUAAUCAAAUGUCUUUUUGAAUUUUUUUUUUUUUUUAAAUGUAUGAAAUGAAGCAAUUCUUCUAUCAAACAACUGUUGAUGGACAUGACGUAAAGUGCAUCAGAAAAGCUUUGCUUGCAAGGGGCCUAGCAUUCCUGUCCCUCUAUACACUUCACACUUGAAACUUCACACCAGUGACGUCUCUCUAACCUUUUUUUUUUCUUUACUUGCUUUUUAUUCUUACGCUUUUGUGACGGAUUCGCGUACUAUUAUCCUCCUUCACUCUAAACCCUAACCCUAACCCUAUACCUACCUAUAAAACCGUAACUCCAAACCAAACCCUAACCAUCAACCCCAGGUUGUAGUGUCAAUGUAUCAACCCCAGGUUGUAGUGUCAAUGUUCAGAGGCUGGCUCAGUACUUUCUGUAGCUCCCUCCUGAAAACUCCAGGACAAAUUUAAAAAAAAUAAAUCCCAAAUUGAUUUGUCUUUAGCUUCCUGCCUGAGAAUGAGUUUGAAAUGCCAAUCAAUCUCUAUAUCUUAAAUGGGUUGAUUUACUGCGUACGGGAUAUCUAUGCGGAGAUUUAGGACCCACUGGUUCAAACCAUCAUCUAGUGUCCUCCGUUGAAAAUUAUUUCCCCAACUCUUUUGUCUAAUCUGGCCAGAUUCCGGGAAUUCACUUCUCUUUCCCUUUUAAAGGGGGGCCCCUUGUUAAAUUGUUAGCUACCUUACAUUUAUUUAGAGGUGUAAAAUGAGAAAAAUAAGAUGAACAUUGAGCAAAAGGAAAAUAUAUCAGCUGCGGGAGAGUCGAGCUUAAGCUUGCAUUCCCUUACAAAAAGGUUGGUAGGGUAAGUAUAAUUGAUUCAUCCAAAUCCAAAACAAAUAUGUACGAUAAUGCACCGUUAACUGUUAAUUAACAAAUAAAUGGAUUGAAGUACAAAAAAAUGUGUUGAGAAAAAUAAGAAGGGAAUGGACAAUGGGUACAAGGAAACAACGUGUUGGAUUGGAUGGAGGUAUUAUUAAGUGGAGUGGAGACAAUUUGUUCUCCAUUGAUUGGAGCAAUUUUUUUCUGCGGAUUUCGCAGGAUUGGAGCGAUGGAGCUCCAUUGGAACAUAGAGCUACCAACUUUAAUAGGAGAGAGAAAAUUGGAACCGAGAUCACAAUAUGUAGAGAGAGAGAGAGAGAGAGAGAGAGAUUUGAGGAAGAGACAUUCGGACUGUCCCACUAGCUUUACCAGCUUUAUUUUUAGCUGCAGCAAACCUACUUUUUUUUUCUUUCUCCAUGCCAAAUAAUUACAGAUUAGAUGCUAUGACUCUGACUAAUAAUUAAUGGGAUGGAGAGAUUUUAUUCAUGUAUAUAUAUACUGCUUAGUAAAAAGAUUUUGUCAGUUUAUUUUUCGCUUGACCCAAAUCCAAGAAAACUGAAAAAGCUUUCUUUUCUUCAGACGGUCUCGUGGACAUGCCGUUGUAUUUUCUGUGUGGAAAAUACUUGUUUGUAGAGUAUUUGUAUCUACAAAGCAAAUCUGGCAAAUACAAGGAUGGAUAUAGGAUGCAUGAUGUUGAUAACUUAUUAAGAGAAUCGAUGCCAACGAAAUGGCAUUACCAUUACGUAACGUACAAUAAACCCAAGUUUAACUAAUAAUAAUCAAAAUAUAAUAAAGUACCACAUGAGCUGAUGAUGUGCAAGCCCUUUUGUCAUUAUAAUUAUCCAGUUGACUGCUUUUAAUUGAAGUUGAAAAUUACUAUAUGAAUCCAGUAUCUAACGAUUAAUGCUUCCUCCUACAAGUCAAAUUGUGAUUUGAAUCAAUGUAAAAGGAAUGAUUGGUUUGAAUUUGAUGUAAGUACCAACACCAAACCUUCCUUUAUAAGAACAAGUGUCCAAGUAUGGAGAAAAGAUAAAUAGCAAACAUAUAUUCUUGACGCAUUUGAGUGUCCGAUAGGGAUGAGUACAGGUGACAAUUGCACAUGACAAAAAUGAAAUAAGUAUGAUAAGACUAAUAUUCUUUAUUAAAUAUUACUGUAUUUAAUUGAUGAUUAUGAACAUUGUGAAUGUGAUGGAUAUUGGGCUGGGGCUGCCGUUGGUGUUGGGGCGUAGCCGCGUAGUAGAGAAAGAGAAGAGAAGAUAAGGGAAGAAGAGGACAAGGAACAGAGUGCGAAUAUUAAAUGAGUGGACAGAUUGCAAUCAAGCUCCAGUAGUAAACAAGAAAAAGCAGCAAAGGGGGUACUGUAGAGAGAGAGAGAGAGAGAGAGAGAGAGAGAGAGAGUAGCUAGGUAGUAGCAGUAGUGAUUCCAAUUUCCAUGCCCCAAAAAAACCUAUGUCUCUCUCUCUCUUCCUCUCUCUCUCUCUCUCUCUCUCUCCAUCCAUCAAAGUUGAAAGUUGAAAGUUGAAAGAAAGAAAGACAUACUAUUAGCCAUUUAUUUAGGGGUGUGUGUGUCCAGCCGGUUUAGCUCUUCCUCGAUUUGAUCGAUCGUUGGCUGUCUAUCUCUCUCAUAAUUCUUUGCCAGUAAUGGCUGUGCAGCACUGCCACUGCAAGAAAAGGGGGUGAGAGUUUUCAUCGGGAAGGUAAAGCUUUGCAUCACACGACACACAGAGAGAGAAGAGAGAGAGAAAGAAGAGAGAGAUACAUAUAUUCACAUGACCACUAUCUAAUACCCUAUCUAUUAUCUAUCAUCAAUAAAUAUAUAUGAAAUGAAACCGGCUGAGUUUCGAGUUUGAGUGAAUUACCACCUCCGCCCUUUCUUUUUCCACCCCCGCGUGCGGAUUCUGCGUAUGAAUAAAUGACUCUCACAGUCAUUCACUUGUGUUUGUGUACAACAAUACCAAUACCCCCCCAAAUAUUGUAUAUAAGUAAGAAGAUCAGAAGUCUGAACUGAAGCCAGCAGUUGUCAAAAGAACAAAACAAAGAAAGAGAAAGUACUGUUUGUGUGAGUUAAUGCAUGUGUAGAGAGAGAUAAAACCAAGGCAUUUUCCAAAGGAAAUCUGAGCAGGCUUUUCUGGCAGACCCCAGCAAAUGGAGAAAAACAAACGCUACAUUAACUGACCCACUCUCCACCACUAUCACUCUCACUAACUUAGGAUUUCCCUGUUAAAAGCCUGCUCAAAGUUUGUAGCAUAAAACCCGGGAGAGCCCUCCCUUCCCCUUCUCCCCUUCUCCUUCCCUUCCCUUGGAGAGAUCAGAUCCAUUCAUGCACAUGUGCAUGUACACACCACCCCCCCCCUUUUCUUUAGCUACCUAGAUCGAC